AUGGGAAAAAAAGAUUUUAAAAAAAUCAGCCCUGGACUGACUGAUACUACAGUACCUCAUCGUCUGGGGCCCAAAAGAGCUAGCAGAAUCCACAAACUCUUCAAUCUGUCUAAAGAAGAUGAUGUUCGCCAGUAUGUUGUGAGGAAGCCCUUAAAUAAAGAAGGUAAGAAACCUAGGACCAAAGCACCCAAGAUUCAGCGACUUGUAACUCCACGUGUCCUGCAACAUAAACGCCGGCGUAUUGCUCUGAAGAAGCAGCGCACUAAGAAAAAUAAGGAAGAGGCUGCAGAAUAUGCUAAACUUUUGGCUAAGAGAAUGAAGGAGGCCAAAGAAAAGCGCCAGGAACAGAUUGCCAAGAGACGUAGGCUGUCCUCUCUGAGAGCAUCUACUUCUAAGUCUGAGUCGAGCCAAAAAUAAGAUUUUUUGAGUUAAAUAAUAAAUAAGACCAUAUCCUAAAAAAAAAAAA
Non-coding RNA from Microcebus murinus (gray mouse lemur), 466 nucleotides. NCBI's taxonomy places the organism in Eukaryota, Metazoa, Chordata, Mammalia, Primates, Cheirogaleidae. The record is from RefSeq and is a predicted model, not a curated record.